Long non-coding RNA from Octopus sinensis (East Asian common octopus), 225 nucleotides. RefSeq lists it as uncharacterized. Lineage: Eukaryota; Metazoa; Mollusca; Cephalopoda; Octopoda; Octopodidae. The transcript has 3 exons. The record is from RefSeq and is a predicted model, not a curated record.
GAGAUCUGGAUGGUUGUACAUAUAUAAAUAUUUAUUAACAUGUCAUAUGUUUUUACAAAACAUAUAUAAGCGCUUUCAUCUGCUCUAAUAGAUUCUUCAGAUUUAAAUUUUGUGAAGGGAUUUGUCUCUUUUUAUAGUAUUAGUGAAUGGGUUGGGGUGGAAAGAGAGAGGUGGGAAAAAAGUGUAAUGUGGAGUGUAUAGGGUAGGAAGAGAGAGAGAGAGAAA